UUCUUCGGAUUGUUUAUUUCAGCUCAUGAAACAUCGGACCAACACUUUACAUGCGUUUAUAUUUUUGUUCAGUAUAACUAGACCUUUAGUACAUCAUACUACAUCAUUGUAGGUGCUCAGAAAUAUGUAUAGUAUGUUUCGUAUGGCUCUGAGGCCAAGCUGGAUGAUCAAUAUCAAGGUUCAUCACACCAUCAGAAGGCCUGUACUGACCUCUGCUGGAUUCCUUCAUAUAUUGUAAUUGGCCAAGAAAAGAUUGAGUGAUUAUAUGACUGAGAUAAUAUUCUCAUUUACAGAAACGACCUGGGGAAUAGUUACAGGGGAUGAAUGAGCCAAUUGUAAACUGGGGAUUAUUAGGUGACCGUAUGAGGGCCAGGUUAGGAAUUCAGCCAGAACACCAGGGUUAACACCCCUACAAUAAGUGUCAUGGGAUCUUAAGUGACCACAGAGAGUCAGGACAUCCAUUUAACAUCCCAUCUGAAAGACAGCACCCUACACAGGGCAAUUUGCCCAAUUACUGCCCUGGGGAAUUGGGAUUUUGUUUUUAGACCAGAGGAAUGGGUGCCUCCUACUGGCCCUCCAACACCACUUCCAGCAGCAUUUGGUCUCCCAUCCAGGACCAACCCUGCUUAGCCUGGCCUGUUGCAAAACGUUUUGCAACUGAGAGUUUCUCGUGGACAAAUAAAUGUGACCUGCUCAAAUGGUUCCAGAACUCUGCAUACCUCCUCCACCACCUCCCAUUCCACUUGAGUCAGAGCAUCAACAGUUGCAUUGACAAUGGCCAGACAUUGGCAUAAACUGGUCCAUAGAAGACAGCGUUGCUGUGGGUCGCGGAGUAGGCCUACUUGACUGAGUGGACACAUCUCCACGUGUGGAGGUGCUGGCUCCACCACUAUCACUAGCAGGCCCGCUAGUUUCUCGAAGCUUCUCUA
Molecule: long non-coding RNA, 929 nt
Organism: Oncorhynchus keta (chum salmon)
Lineage: Eukaryota; Metazoa; Chordata; Actinopteri; Salmoniformes; Salmonidae
Exons: 3
Source: RefSeq, a predicted model, not a curated record